GAGGAGCAAAGGUAUGACCCGGAAGCAGACACGACGCGGAAGUUGAAACCUGAAAGUCUUCACGAGAAUUCAAACUCCAGAGAGCCGGCCUGGGUGCUGAAGACAAGGAGAAGAGCUGACAUUUAAACGCCUAAUUUAUUGAGUGAGAGCGAGAGAGAGAGAGAACAACAGCGGAUAACACCGAGGCCAUAUUUCCCAAAGGCACGUCACAAGGAAGUAGCGACAGCUCAGACGAAGGCUGAAGUGACCGUCGAAACUGUUAGCUCGUGUGCGUGCGUCGUUUACGUCCAGGUGGUCCGGCCGAACCCGCGUGAUUAGCAGCAAGUGACGCUAAUGGCAAACCCCUUCCAAAUGGUCGCCAAUGCCACCCCCAAAACAACGCCGAAGACCGUUGCUUCAAGAAAAAUACGGACUGUUCAAUAUUGAUUGACUGGAGUCAAACCGGCGUGUUUAGUUUGCGGCGAGUCGUCCGCCGUCUCGAAGGACGAUAACGCGAGUGGACGUGACGAGACGCAGCGUGCGGGAAAAUGCAGACAAUUGACUGAGGCUGGGAGGGCGCAGCUCGAAAAACAACAUGGCUAUUUUUCACCAAGCAGCAACCAGGACCGGCUGUGUGAUAUCGCGAAGAACGCCGAGUCAUUUUCGGAGGGGGGGGGGGACCUCGACAAAC
This is a long non-coding RNA of Hippocampus zosterae (dwarf seahorse), 670 nucleotides long. RefSeq lists it as uncharacterized. The record is from RefSeq and is a predicted model, not a curated record. NCBI's taxonomy places the organism in Eukaryota, Metazoa, Chordata, Actinopteri, Syngnathiformes, Syngnathidae. The transcript has 3 exons.